CAAUAGCGUAUAUUAAAGUUGUUGCAGUUAAAAAGCUCGUAGUUGAAUUUUUGCUUGCCGCCGAUGUCGGAACUUCCGUACGUUCGGCGGCGUGCAUCCUUGGGUGGAACCUGUGUGGCAUUAGGUUGUCGUGCAGGGGAUGCUCAUCGUUUACUGUGAAAAAAUUAGAGUGUUCAAAGCAGGCUUACGCCGUUGAAUAUAUUAGCAUGGAAUAAUAAGAUAGGACCUUGGUACUAUUUUGUCGGUUUGCGCACCGAGGUAAUGAUUAACAGGGACAGUUGGGGGUAUUCGUAUUCCAUUGUCAGAGGUGAAAUUCUUGGAUUUAUGAAAGACGAACUUCUGCGAAAGCAUUUGUCAAGGAUGUUUUCAUUAA
This 373-nucleotide ribosomal RNA is filed under the name uncultured eukaryote. RNAcentral's name for it is "partial 18S ribosomal RNA". It matches the Rfam family "Eukaryotic small subunit ribosomal RNA", at positions 592 to 976 of the family's 1831-position model. The record is from RNAcentral.